Long non-coding RNA from Cottoperca gobio, 262 nucleotides. RefSeq lists it as uncharacterized. The transcript is spliced from 3 exons. The record is from RefSeq and is a predicted model, not a curated record. Lineage: Eukaryota; Metazoa; Chordata; Actinopteri; Perciformes; Bovichtidae.
GGGAUGUUCAUAGAGCAGAUUGAAUGUCUGGAGAAAGAGAAAGCAGCUCUGUCUCAGGAGAAGAGAGAGACGGAUGAGUUCUUGUCUCUUGAGAUCAAGUUCAUGAAAGAGUAUGAGAAUGAGUUGCAAAAUGAGAUCACCGACUUGAAAAAGACCAUCGAAGGCUCUGAGCUUCAAUGCCGAGAGCUUCAGAACAAGCUAGAAAAGCUGACUGAUGAACUGAAGAAGAAAACUGAAUUUGCAGAGGACCUUCAGAGUAUGG